RNAcentral lists this ribosomal RNA (336 nucleotides) under Bipolaris sp. YPT-2016a. RNAcentral's name for it is "eukaryotic LSU rRNA". It matches the Rfam family "Eukaryotic large subunit ribosomal RNA", at positions 1 to 332 of the family's 3401-position model. Lineage: Eukaryota; Fungi; Ascomycota; Dothideomycetes; Pleosporales; Pleosporaceae. The record is from RNAcentral.
UUGACCUCGGAUCAGGUAGGGAUACCCGCUGAACUUAAGCAUAUCAAUAAGCGGAGGAAAAGAAACCAACAGGGAUUGCCCUAGUAACGGCGAGUGAAGCGGCAACAGCUCAAAUUUGAAAUCUGGCUCUUUCAGAGUCCGAGUUGUAAUUUGCAGAGGGCGCUUUGGCUUUGGCAGCGGUCCAAGUUCCUUGGAACAGGACGUCACAGAGGGUGAGAAUCCCGUACGUGGUCGCUAGCUAUUGCCGUGUAAAGCCCCUUCGACGAGUCGAGUUGUUUGGGAAUGCAGCUCUAAAUGGGAAGGUAAAUUUCUUCUAAAGCUAAAUAUUGGCCAGAG